RNAcentral lists this ribosomal RNA (497 nucleotides) under uncultured bacterium. RNAcentral's name for it is "partial 16S ribosomal RNA". It matches the Rfam family "Bacterial small subunit ribosomal RNA", at positions 28 to 507 of the family's 1533-position model. The record is from RNAcentral.
GAUGAACGCUGGCGGCGUGCCUAAUACAUGGAAGUCGAGCGAACAGACGAGGAGCUUGCUCCUCUGACGUUAGCGGCGGACGGGUGAGUAACACGUGGAUAACCUACCUAUAAGACUGGGAUAACUUCGGGAAACCGGAGCUAAUACCGGAUAAUAUAUUGAACCGCAUGGUUCAAUAGUGAAAGACGGUUUUGCUGUCGCUUAUAGAUGGAUCCGCGCCGCAUUAGCUAGUUGGUAAGGUAACGGCUUACCAAGGCAACGAUGCGUAGCCGACCUGAGAGGGUGAUCGGCCACACUGGAACUGAGACACGGUCCAGACUCCUACGGGAGGCAGCAGUAGGGAAUCUUCCGCAAUGGGCGAAAGCCUGACGGAGCAACGCCGCGUGAGUGAUGAAGGUCUUCGGAUCGUAAAACUCUGUUAUUAGGGAAGAACAAAUGUGUAAGUAACUAUGCACGUCUUGACGGUACCUAAUCAGAAAGCCACGGCUAACUACGUG